Molecule: ribosomal RNA, 494 nt
Filed under: uncultured bacterium
Lineage: Bacteria
Description: partial 16S ribosomal RNA
Rfam family: Bacterial small subunit ribosomal RNA
Source: RNAcentral
GACGAACGCUGGCGGCGUGCUUAACACAUGCAAGUCGAGCGGAAAGGCCUGCUUUCCCUUGUGGAUUGCGGGUACUCGAGUGGCGAACGGGUGAGUAACACGUGAGUGAUCUGCCCCCAACUUGGGUAUAAGCCUGGGAAACUGGGUCUAAUUCCCGAUAGGACUGCAGGGUGGUGCCUGUGGUGGAAAACGAUUUUCUAGUGGUUGGGGAUGAGCUCGCGGCCUAUCAGCUUGUUGGUGGGGUAAUGGCCUACCAAGGCGGCGACGGGUAGCCGGCCUGAGAGGGUGGACGGCCACAUUGGGACUGAGAUACGGCCCAGACUCCUACGGGAGGCAGCAGUGGGGAAGAUUGCACAAUGGGCGGAAGCCUGCUGCAGCGACGCAGCGUUGGGGAUGACGGCCUUCGGGUUGUAAACUCCUUUCGACCGCGAGGAAGCCACCUGGUUGGAAGGGUGGUGACGGUAGUGGUAGAAGAAGCACCGGCUAACUACGUG